UACGUAGGGGUCUAGCGUUGUCCGGAAUCAUUGGGCGUAAAGAGCGUGUAGGCGGUCCGGUAAGUCCGCUGUGAAAGUCGGGGGCUCAACCCUCGAAUGCCGGUGGAUACUGUCGGGCUAGAGUGCGGAAGAGGCGAGUGGAAUUCCUGGUGUAGCGGUGAAAUGCGCAGAUAUCAGGAGGAACACCGGUGGCGAAGGCGGGUCUCUGGGCCGGAACUGACGCUAAGGAGCGAAAGCGUGGGGAGCGAACAGG
This 253-nucleotide ribosomal RNA is filed under the name uncultured bacterium. RNAcentral describes it as "partial 16S ribosomal RNA". It matches the Rfam family "Bacterial small subunit ribosomal RNA", at positions 524 to 776 of the family's 1533-position model. The record is from RNAcentral.